Molecule: ribosomal RNA, 474 nt
Filed under: uncultured bacterium
Lineage: Bacteria
Description: bacterial SSU rRNA
Rfam family: Bacterial small subunit ribosomal RNA
Source: RNAcentral
CGCUAUCACUCCUACGGGGAGGCAGCAGUAGGGAAUCUUCCACAAUGGGCGCAAGCCUGAUGGAGCAACACCGCGUGAGUGAAGAGGGGUUUCGGCUCGUAAAGCUCUGUUGUUAAAGAAGAACACGUAUGAGAGUAACUGUUCAUACGUUGACGGUAUUUAACCAGAAAGUCACGGCUAACUACGUGCCAGCAGCCGCGGUAAUACGUAGGUGGCAAGCGUUAUCCGGAUUUAUUGGGCGUAAAGAGAGUGCAGGCGGUUUUCUAAGUCUGAUGUGAAAGCCUUCGGCUUAACCGGAGAAGUGCAUCGGAAACUGGAUAACUUGAGUGCAGAAGAGGGUAGUGGAACUCCAUGUGUAGCGGUGGAAUGCGUAGAUAUAUGGAAGAACACCAGUGGCGAAGGCGGCUACCUGGUCUGCAACUGACGCUGAGACUCGAAAGCAUGGGUAGCGAACAGGAUUAGAUACCCUGGUAG